GGAAUAUUGGUCAAUGGGCGAGAGCCUGAACCAGCCAAGUAGCGUGCAGGAAGACGGCCCUAUGGGUUGUAAACUGCUUUUAUCAGGGGAUAAAGUUUCCCACGUGUGGGUUUUUGUAGGUACCUGAUGAAUAAGGACCGGCUAAUUCCGUGCCAGCAGCCGCGGUAAUACGGAAGGUCCGGGCGUUAUCCGGAUUUAUUGGGUUUAAAGGGAGCGCAGGCUGAUUAUUAAGCGUGACGUGAAAUGUAGCCGCUCAACGGCUGAACUGCGUCGCGAACUGGUAGUCUUGAGUGAGUUCGAUGUUGGCGGAAUUCGUGGUGUAGCGGUGAAAUGCUUAGAUAUCACGAAGAACUCCGAUUGCGAAGGCAGCCAACAAGGCCUUUACUGACGCUAAAGCUCGAAGGUGCGGGUAUCGAACA
RNAcentral lists this ribosomal RNA (419 nucleotides) under uncultured Prevotella sp. RNAcentral's name for it is "bacterial SSU rRNA". It matches the Rfam family "Bacterial small subunit ribosomal RNA", at positions 358 to 774 of the family's 1533-position model. Lineage: Bacteria; Pseudomonadati; Bacteroidota; Bacteroidia; Bacteroidales; Prevotellaceae. The record is from RNAcentral.